This 254-nucleotide ribosomal RNA is filed under the name uncultured bacterium. RNAcentral's name for it is "partial 16S ribosomal RNA". It matches the Rfam family "Bacterial small subunit ribosomal RNA", at positions 524 to 776 of the family's 1533-position model. The record is from RNAcentral.
AACGUAGGACACAAGCGUUAUCCGGAGUUACUGGGCGUAAAGGGCGUGUAGGCGGAUCGGUAAGUCUACUCUGAAAGCUCCUGGCUAAACUGGGAGAGGCGAGUGGAGACUGUCGGUCUAGAGUGAGGAAGAGGAAAGUGGAAUUCCGCGUGUAGUGGUGAAAUGCGUAGAGAUGCGGAGGAACACCAGUGGCGAAAGCGGCAUCCUGGACCAAUUCUGACGCUGAGUGAGCGAAAGCCAGGGGAGCAAACGGG